Molecule: non-coding RNA, 58 nt
Submitted as: unclassified sequences
Source: Rfam
AUAAUGAUACUCCCGGAAACGGCUCGGAGAGAUCCUCGGAGGGGUGAGAUUCCCGUGN